GGACACGAGGAUGACCUGGUGCAGCCUCAGUCACCCCAUUGAUUGCCAGGCUUGAUUCGGCUGACAUGGCCAGCUAGGAGGGUGUCCCUUCCUCCCCAAUGUUCCAUGGGGUCCCUCCCAAGUGGCACCCUCCGUCUGAAAGGAGGACCACCCUGGACAGAGGAGGAUCGUUCCUUGGCCAAGCUGUGCUCCCCUGCUAGACCUCCAUCCUGCGCUGCGGAAGGAAAUGCAGCGCUUCUGCUGGUCCACAGCUUUACAGGGCAGUUUGGCAGGCUCUUAGCGAUAGUUUGCUCCAUUGACUCAGCUGUAUUAA
Molecule: small nuclear RNA, 313 nt
Filed under: Octodon degus (degu)
Lineage: Eukaryota; Metazoa; Chordata; Mammalia; Rodentia; Octodontidae
Description: 7SK RNA (ENSODEG00000023770.1)
Rfam family: 7SK RNA
About the family: 7SK was discovered as an abundant small nuclear RNA in the mid-70s but a possible function has only recently been suggested. Two independent studies have found that 7SK RNA binds the CDK9/cyclin T complex (known as elongation factor P-TEFb). P-TEFb activates transcription by phosphorylating the C-terminal domain of RNA polymerase II.
Source: RNAcentral